GAUGAACGCUGGCGGCGUGCUUAACACAUGCAAGUCGAACGAUGAAGCCCAGCUUGCUGGGCGGAUUAGUGGCGAACGGGUGAGUAACACGUGAGUAACCUGCCCUUGACUCUGGGAUAAGCCCGGGAAACUGGGUCUAAUACCGGAUAGGAGCGCCUGUCGCAUGACGGGUGCUGGAAAGAUCUUUCGGUCAUGGAUGGACUCGCGGCCUAUCAGCUUGUUGGUGAGGUAACGGCUCACCAAGGCGACGACGGGUAGCCGGCCUGAGAGGGUGACCGGCCACACUGGGACUAAGACACGGCCCAGACCCCUACGGGAGGCAGCAGUGGGGAAUAUUGCACAAUGGGCGAAAGCCUGAUGCAGCGACGCCGCGUGAGGGAUGACGGCCUUCGGGUUGUAAACCUCUUUCAGCAGGGAAGAAGCGAAAGUGACGGUACCUGCAGAAGAAGCACCGGCUAACUACGUG
RNAcentral lists this ribosomal RNA (466 nucleotides) under uncultured bacterium. RNAcentral describes it as "partial 16S ribosomal RNA". It matches the Rfam family "Bacterial small subunit ribosomal RNA", at positions 28 to 507 of the family's 1533-position model. The record is from RNAcentral.